CAUUUAUUGUACCAUCUUAAAUGCAGAAAAAUAAAAUGCAACUAUUUUUUUUUUUAUAUUAUAAUCACUUUCAUAGCAAUAAGCUUAUGAUCCAUGGAGUUCAAAUCCCAUUUGGUCUUCUCUGUGAAAAAUUACUUUUUUAGAUACUGUUGGGAAAGAAAUAGUUUGAAAAUUUUGUUUUCCGUGAAAAAUUAUUUUAAAUUGUUUUUUUCAACACCAUUUUUUUUUAUAAACAAAAAAUUUUAGUAGACCAAAAUUGAGGUGGGAGGAAGAGAGUUCCCAUUGUAUCCCCAUUGUCAACGGGUAAUACGCUGAACACCCAGUCCCAGCCCAGUUCAAAAGAAACCAAAAAAACAGAGGGAUGAUAAAAAAAAUGGCUACAAAAUCCUCUCAAUGAUUCAUUUAUAUGGCAUUCUUUCAACAGUUUAUGUUUUUCUGACAAACGGAGCAUAAUAGCUUUACAAUUAGAUGGCUGUUCUUGAAUUUUCCUUUUAUUAUAUAAAUGGCCAUUAUCAUCUUACUGGUUUUUUCCUACUUUUUUUGUCAGAAGUCAUUAUCAUCAUUACUGAACCAUACCUGUUGUAGAAUAUUUUGAUUAAAGGGAGUUUGGACAUUGAAUAAUUGUAGCCAAAUAAUGAGUAUUCAACCACUUCCUCUUCUCUUCUUUCUCCUAUCCUCCUGUUUGUGGGGUUGUGCUGAUGGAUUCCAGUCUUAUCUUCACAACUCUAUUGCUCUUAGUAGAAGCAGUUUUCCCAACGAUUUUAUGUUUGGGGCAGCAACAAGUGCUUACCAAAUUGAAGGAGCAGCAAAUACAGAUGGCAGGAAGCCAAGUAUUUGGGAUACCUUCACCAAGGAACAUCCAGAAAAAAUAUCUGAUCACAGCUCAGGAGAUGUUGCAGAGGAUUUUUAUCAUCGUUACAAGGAGGACAUUGCUGUGAUUAAAGAAAUUGGUUUGAACUCCUUCAGAUUCUCAAUCUCAUGGCCAAGAGUAUUACCUUGUAAGAUCAUUAAUUACUCUGCACUUCAGUCCAAUGUUGAACUUGGAAAAUGCCAAGCACUAAUCCAUGUGGGCUUCACAUGCUUUUCACUGUGAGACCUGCAUCAAUCAACGGUCCAGAAUGCAUAGUCACACUAUGCAAAAGCAUACCUCGUUGAAUUUUUUAGUUCAAUUGACUAAAGCUCAUUGGUAUAUUUGCCAAAGCAUGCAUAUUAUAAUUUCUUUCAUUAUGAUUUCACGCAUUCUAUCGUUACUCACCGGAUUGCUCUUAGUCGGAAGAGUCAGCGCUGGAGUGAACCCAGAAGGUGUCAAUUUCUACAAUUCUAUGAUUAAUGAGCUCCUAUCAAAUGGUAUAGAGCCCUUUAUAACUUUAUUCCACUGGGAUCUUCCACAAGCUCUACAAGAUGAAUAUGGUGGAUUUUUAAGCCCAAAGAUUGUGGACGAUUAUCGAGAUUAUGUGGACUUUUGUUUUGAAGAAUUUGGAGAUAGAGUGAAGUAUUGGGUCUCUCUCAACGAGCCAAAUUAUUUUAGUUGUUUUGGAUAUGCACUUGGAGCGACUGCACCAGGUCGAUGCUCUAACUAUAUCGGAAAUUGUAGGAAUGGAAAUUCUGCAACUGAACCUUACAUUGUAAUCCACCACAUGAUUCUUUGUCAUGCAACUGCUCUAAAAUUAUACAGACAAAAAUACCAGGUAUGCAAAUUUUUUUUUUGGGUAAAUUAGAAUAAAAUCCUUGAAAUUUAAUAAAGCCCAUAAAUUACUUCCUAUAUGCAAGUUUAAUAAUGAUUUGGUCCUAAAUUUUAUUUGUGUUAAUACAUUAGUCUUUACAUUUUACUUAUAUUAACAAAUUAGUCCUCAAAAUUCACUGCUCAUAAAAACUUAUUUGUCAAUAUAAGUAAAAUGUAAGGACCAAUUUGUUAAUGGAAAUAAAAUUUAAGAAUCAAAUUGCUAGUUUUGUUAAACUUCAAGGAUUUAAUUGUAAUUUACUUUUUUUUAUAAAUACAUAUACAAUUUUUCUUACUUAAAUUUGAUUCAUUAUUAAUUCAAAAUAUAAAUAUGUGAGGCCUAAGUAAAUCGUAUUUUAAAUUUAUGAUACAUUAAAUUUAAAAAAGAAUUUUUCCAAUGAACUCGGUGGUUGAAUUAAAGAGAAAAUUAAUGAGAGUGAACUAUAGAAUUUUAUGUAAUUAAACGCAUAAUUAAGAAAAAAGUUUCUAAAACCAUUAACAUUCUAAAUAAAUGAAUGAACAAUUAGGCUUCUCAGAAGGGAACAAUUGGGAUUAUUGUAACAGCAUUCUGGAAGGAGCCCAAAUUUGACACGAUUGCCAGCAGGAAGGCUGCAUCUAGAGGCCUUGAUUUUACUAUUGGAUGGUGGGUUUCCAUCUUUUCAUAAUUAAUAUUUUCAAUUGGAGCACAGAUGGACUAAGUCCCAUUUGGGACCCACCUAGGCAAAAUUUCUCUUUCAACAGAAUGCUUUCCAGGAAAGUUUGUACAAACAGAAAAUGUCAAUAAUGAUUCUCUGUGCAGGCUUCUUCACCCCCUAACAUAUGGUGACUACCCAGAGAGCAUGAGAACUCUGGUGGGGGAUAGAUUGCCUAAAUUCACAGAAGAACAAUCCCAGAUGAUAAAAGGAUGUAUUGAAUUCGUUGGAGUGAAUUACUAUACAGCAAGAUAUGUUGAUGAAUCUACAUCUUCUACCAGUGUAAACUUAAGUUACACAACAGAUAGUCAGGUUAUUGAAUCCACUGAGAAAAAUGGGAUUCCCAUUGGACAACAGGCUGGUUCUACCUGGAUAUACGUAUACCCAGAAGGACUUCGAGAAAUGGUGUUCUAUAUAAAGAGAAAUUACAACGAUCCUUCUAUUUAUAUCACUGAGAAUGGUAAGCAAUCUGAUCAGGUUGUUAUUAUUAAUAUUAUUAUGAAUUUUGGAAAAAGAAAAGAGAGUUUCAAAUGGAUAAUAAUUAAUCCAUUUUCAAAUAUGACUUUUUGAUUGGAAGGAAUGGCAGAUAAUUACUCCAUGUCAAUUAACGAUUUACUGAACGAUAGCCUGAGAAUAAAAUAUCACUAUCUUCAUCUAUCUUAUCUCCUACAAGCCAUCAAGUGAGUGAUAAUUUACAGAAUUAUUCAUUUAAUUUCCAGAGCUUAUUCUAUUUUCAGUAUAUAUAAAUUCAUUCAUUUGAUUUCUACUGAGACUGAUAUGAUAUUGAUAGGGAAGGAGCUGAUGUAAGAGGGUAUUAUGUAUGGUCAUUUCUGGAUGAUUUCGAGUGGGAAUUUGGUUACACAUUUCGAUAUGGCCUCACUUAUAUCGAUUAUACAAAUGGGUUGAAAAGAAUUCCAAAAUCUUCUGCUUUUUGGUUCCAGAAUUUCCUCCAUGGAGAAAAUGUAACCACUGGAUCAUCUUCUUUGUUGGACUCUGAAAAGAGUUCAAUUUGAUAAGAAAUUAAUAAAUCGUUAUCAGAAAUACAACUUGUAAAUUUGGAUAUUUAAAAUUCAGUCCAAUAUUUUUUUCCCUUUUUGGCAAGCAAUUACAAUUCAUGGAUUACCU
RNAcentral lists this unclassified non-coding RNA (3537 nucleotides) under Hevea brasiliensis (rubber tree). Lineage: Eukaryota; Viridiplantae; Streptophyta; Magnoliopsida; Malpighiales; Euphorbiaceae. The record is from RNAcentral.